CCAACGGCCCUCUUUAGGGCCACAAAUAAUCGAACUGAAUACUUG
Non-coding RNA from Ancylostoma duodenale, 45 nucleotides. NCBI's taxonomy places the organism in Eukaryota, Metazoa, Nematoda, Chromadorea, Rhabditida, Ancylostomatidae. The record is from Rfam.